Molecule: ribosomal RNA, 254 nt
Filed under: uncultured bacterium
Lineage: Bacteria
Description: partial 16S ribosomal RNA
Rfam family: Bacterial small subunit ribosomal RNA
Source: RNAcentral
UACGUAGGGGGCAAGCGUUGUCCGGAAUUAUUGGGCGUAAAGAGCUUGUAGGCGGUUUGUCGCGUCUGCUGUGAAAUCUCAAGGCUCAACCUUGAGCUUGCAGUGGGUACGGGCAGACUAGAGUGUGGUAGGGGAGACUGGAAUUCCUGGUGUAGCGGUGAAAUGCGCAGAUAUCAGGAGGAACACCGAUGGCGAAGGCGGUUCUCUGGGCAUGUCCUGACGCUGAGGAGCGGAAAGUGUGGGGAGCGAACAGG